UAUAAGGAUUUUUUAAAAUCCUUACAUUUAAAGUUUAGAGUUGUCU
This is a non-coding RNA of Pongo abelii (Sumatran orangutan), 46 nucleotides long. NCBI's taxonomy places the organism in Eukaryota, Metazoa, Chordata, Mammalia, Primates, Hominidae. The record is from Rfam.